GCCGUUUGUCCCUAGGCAGUUCCGGCGGUGGGCCGGGGGUCGUGCCGGGCCGGCGGGACGUUAAGCCAUGCCUGUUUCAGCUGAUGAAACUGCGGGGAACCUGGCUGUGAGAGAUACAGUCCUUACUCCAGCUGGAAUUGAAGGAUUACAAGAAUCAUCAUCUACACAGAAUGUAAAAGCUCGACAAGUCAUAUCAAGAAUCAGUCGAGAGGAACUGGAAGACAGAUUUCUUCGUCUACGUGAUGACCAUAUCCUACUCAAACAGUAUGCCAAUAAGCAAGAGGAGAAAAUUAAAAGAAUGACCACCAAGUUAAUACGGCUCGUUAAUGAUAAAAGAAAAUGUGACCAGGCUGGCUCUGGACCCAAGCGGCUGGGUCAGGCUCUGGAGCUGGAAGAAAUGAUUGAGCAUUUGCGAGAAAAAGUCUGUGAGCUUGAGAAACAAAAUGAGAGCCUCCGCAACAAACUCAUUUCAACUAAACAGCAGCUCCAGAUUCAAGGCCAUAGGCCUUGUCCGUACAGCUCCGUUCAAUCUCGUGUGAACACUGGUCUCAAAAAAGAGAGUGAGACUGCUGGCAUGCCAGAGCACACCAAGAAGGGAAUGAGAUUUCAAGGUUUAGAAGUGAGAUCAUCUGACCUUGUGCUUCCUAAAUAUGGACAGAGUCUGCUCGAGGAUUCAAGAGCUGAAAUCAGAAAUUUGGAGACUGUCAUUGAGUCCCAAAAGAACCAAAUUGAGGAACUAUACCGUGCCAGAGAGAUUCUUGGGAAUCAACUAAGAAGGAAAGAAAAGGAAAUUGAAGAAUCCACCCUACGGCUGAAAGAGCAGGGUACAGCAAGCCAAAGGCUAAACAUUCAGGACAAUGUGGAAAUGAUCAAGGUCCGUAAACAGCUGGCUGAGAAAAGCAAUGCUCUUUCAGCAAUGGAAGGAAAGUUUCUCCAGCUUGAAGAGAACCUAAAGAACUUGAAGACCAACCAUGAUGCUUUAUUAGCAAAAGGUGAUGAACUGAAUGUUCAGCUUAAAGAGGAGCGGUUAAAGUGCUUUCAUCUUCAAAAAGAAUUGCAGACAGUAACUAUUUCAAACAGAAGGACAGAAGAGUUACAGGAAAGAAUAAAUGAUCUAGAAAAUGAGAACAAACUGUUGAAGGAAAACUAUGAUAAGCUGCAUAACAGUGUCUUCAGUCUGCCCCAUGAACAGCAAUGGAAAUCAAAGGAACAGCAACUGAAACUGCAAAUUGCUAAACUAGAGGCAGCUAUCAAAAAUGAUCUAGCAGACAAAAAUGAAAUCCUUGACAAGAUCAAAGUAGAAAGAGACCAAAAGGAAAAGCUGAUGCAAGACAACAAAGACCUGCAGUUGCGCUACCUGGAACAAAAACAGCAACUAGAUGAUCUGAAAAAUCAAGUGAAGUGUUUAACGAAGGAUAGAAAGCAACAAAAGAAUGUGGACCUUCUGUUCUUGGAAAAAGUGGAAGAUGAUAUCCAUAAAGAUGUAGAAUACUCCAUGCAGGAGCUGCAGUUAACACAUGUGGAAACUGUGCAAGAACUUGAAAAGACAAGGAAUUUGUUACUUGUGCAGCAUAAAAUUAGCAAAAAUUACCAGACUGAAGUAGAAACAAUGACAAGAAAGAUGGAAAGUCUACAGAAAGAUUAUGAGUUAAAAUUGGAACAGUAUACCCAUCUUCUCGAUAUUAGAGCUGCACGUAUCAGAAAACUAGAAGCCCAACUAGGAGACAUUGUGUAUGAUACAAAACCACUUAAGUCCAGACAAGAAGUAUUGCUGAAUGAUCCAGUGGGUGGAUUUGUUGAAACUGUUCAUUUAGAAAGAGGAGAGAACCUUUUUGAAAUUCAUAUCAGCAAAGUGAUCUUCUCUUCUGAAGCUAUGCACACUUUUGGUGACUGGGAACCUGCAACCUUUUGUACUUACGCAUUCUAUGACUUUGAACUUCAGAUAACCCCAGUAGUUCAUGGGAAGACCCCAUCAUAUGACUUCACUUCUCAGUUUCUUGUGCAGUCUGAUGAUAGCUUCUUUCACUAUAUACAGGAAAACAGCAUCACACUGGAGGUUCAUCGUGCGUAUGGCAUAGAUUAUGAAACAAUUGCUUCUUGUCAGCUUAAGUUCCAGGAAAUCUUGGAAAAGGAAGGCAAGAUCUACAACACAGCAAAUUUAGUUGGAAAAGCAGGACACAUUCAAAAUUAUGGUACUGUAGAAUACUGGAUCAGGUUGCAAGUUCCUAUGGACCAAGCUAUUCUUCCCUACAAACAGAGGUCAAAGGAUCUGGGAUAUGGGAUAAUGCCCAGUUUUAGGAAGCAUGAACAACCAUCCAAGACUCCAACACUCAAAAUGAAGCAUCGUACAGCUCAAGCACACAAGAGAGUCUCUUUUCUGGAUCUUAGUGCAGUACAGAUGGCACAUGUGGUACAGGAUGCUAAACAGCUGUUGGGUGACAAAGUGAAGGACAUGGGUGAAGAAAUUCAGCAGGAAAAAGAAGAGCUUUCUCAUCUGUCAGAAGAGCAAUUGGCUGACCUAACAUUGAUUACUUCUAGAGAUGAGACAGAAAUAAUUGAAGAAUUGGAACCAGAAGGUCAAGAAGAUCAUCAAGAGGAUGAUGCUGUUGAAUCAAUAAAAACUGAUAGUGAUGACUGUAUUAUUUCAAGUCCAGUAUCCACUAAUAUUAAACAGCUGAGUCACAGUAUACAUGGCAAUUAUUUGGAAGUUGAAAAAAUCCAGAUUAAAAUUACAUCACUUGGUCUUACUGAGUCACGAAUAACAGAAGAUGAAACAAUACAGCAGCUGUUUGUAGAAUGCAGAUUAAACAAUUUCCUUGCGGAGGAGACCCCACUGUCACUUCCAAAACCACCUAGUGGUCAGAGGAUUCACUAUAACUAUAGCACUGCGAUAAAUGUAGAUAAGGAAGAUAAUCAUGCAGAAAGAGAGUAUCUCAAGUCAAUUCUUCUAAAGCCAGAUCUACCUGCUGACAGCCUAAAAUUUACAGUGGUCAGUGAUCCUCCAGAAGAUGAGCAGGAUCUUGAAUGUGAGGACAUUGGAUUUGCUUAUGUCAGUUUAAAAGAGAUAUUCCAGAAGCAAAGAGAUAUCAUUGAGCAAGAUAUUGAUGUGCCUGUUGGAACUGUAAAGGCAUGCACAUCUGCAAGUUCUUCAAACCUGGUUAAAGGAGUUUUAAAGUUGAUGUGGAACAAAGCAUUCCAACAAGGACAUUGAAAGAUUCCCAAGUGAGCAACCCGCCUGGCAGCCUGCCAACAUAAGGAAGAGCUCAUAGAGGAUCUCCUCCCUGACCCGACUCUCCAAGUUCCCCACGAGCAGAGUCUGCUCCGCCGCCUCGGCCCCCACCAAGGAUGACAUAGAGCCUGCGGGAAUGCGAGAAGAGCGUCCCAGCUGCGGGGAAGCUGCACUCGGUGUGAGGGGCCGGGCCGGCUCCUGGCAACACUGGAACGAGGGAGGGCGGCUGUCGCCUUGUUUGUGACACCAUCCCCAACGUCUGUGGCACCGUACUUAAUCGUUCAGUGUGUAGUAAUGAUGAAACACCAGAUCAAUCACUAACACUACCAGUCGUAUGCUGUUGUGAACAUCAGCCUGAGCAUCUUUGGUCUCUGUAGUGAUGGCACACUGAGCUCCUCCCAGACAAUUGGGCAUGAAGCAGUAGGUGUCUCCCAGCUCCUGUUAACCUGCAAACACUGUUAAAGGGCAUCAGCUGAGACAACAGGAGGUCCAUCUGCACCUCUGCAUCUCCCUGCCUGACAGGCCCGGGCUGGGCUGAGAACUGCGUUGACCACAGAGCCAGCAGGAAGACUCAGGCACAAAGUGACACAGGAAGCAGAAUAGCAACUCUGCAGGAGCUGAUUCUUGCAGCCUGGGCUUGAGUUGUGCCAGAGUGAAAAAUUAGAGCAAUGAUUUGUGUAACGAGCUGCAUUGCCAAGUGCUACCUGAGCCCAAGUGCUUGUCAGACAGAAUAUAUCACCUCUGUGGAUCAAGGUAAAAAAGCCUUGACUCAUCAGUAGCCUCAGGGAACAAAUGUGAAUUGAGCACCUGAAAUGCACAGCAUCAACUCAAUACCUGGGUGCGAAAAAUGUGUAUUUUAUGACUGUCUUCUCCCAAAUAUUAAAAUGAAUAUUAUAUGUGUUGUGUUAGAAAGUAAUGCUGUAUUAAUUCUCUUAGGUAGUCUGUUCAAUAUAGUUUUAGGUUAUAAAAACUGUUAAAAUAGAAACUAUGCUAUGUAGGAUACUUUUUUUAGAGAAAGGACUCGCAGCAAGAUAGCAGCUGCAGGACAUCUAAAUCUUUCAGACAAAAAGAAUUUAUUGCCUUCUUAUCAGAAAAAAUUGACUUCUUCCUGCCUGGCUAAGGAUUGAAGGCGCCUUAGGUUUAGGAGGAAGAAGUUGAUGAUGAACAGACAGAAUCCUUUGUUUGAAUGGAAUUUGUGCAUCAUGUAUGAAAUGUAUGAACAUACAACAGGCUGUGGUUUUUAAGGGUUAAUCCUCUGUUAACGUGUUUUGCAGGCUUGUGCUGCCCAGAAAACAGUACCUGGACAUCUGUAACUCUUUGUUUCUAUUGUCUCAUAUUGUCCUAAUUCAAAUUGUCCACAUUAUUAUUACUCUAAU
This is an RNA transcript of Melospiza melodia melodia, 4605 nucleotides long. It is a transcript of the gene named RPGRIP1 like, with no coding region annotated. The record is from RefSeq and is a predicted model, not a curated record. The transcript has 24 exons. NCBI's taxonomy places the organism in Eukaryota, Metazoa, Chordata, Aves, Passeriformes, Passerellidae.